GUCCCUGUAGCUUAACCCAAAGCAUGGCACUGAAGAUGCCAAGACGGUUGCCUCCCAUGCACCCAAGGACA
Non-coding RNA from Apus apus (common swift), 71 nucleotides. NCBI's taxonomy places the organism in Eukaryota, Metazoa, Chordata, Aves, Apodiformes, Apodidae. The record is from the annotation of a RefSeq genome assembly.